UGUUCAUCCAUACAAUGAUGCUCUGAGGAGCACACAAGGAAGGUGCAAAUUUGAUAAAAUGUGCAUGAUGUAAGGAGCAUAAACCCCCUCAGGAAAGAGUUGCUGCCUUUUCACUAAUGUAUCCCUGAGCUGCACAGAGCAGCCCUGGGGGACUGGGAGGACAUGUCCCCGGUGUGAGGAGCAGGGGAAAGGUGAGCCUUAAAUGAUCACCAACAAACAACAGGGCCUGUGUCUGGGGCUUACACCACGACAUGUGGUCCUCGCAGCACCAUUGCUCAGAGGAAGAAACCAAGAUCUCGAGGAACUGAGUAAUUUGCCCACGUUCAACAAGUUGGUGCAAAAUGAAGAGUGGCUCCCGUAUUUCAGACUUUAAGGCCGACGAUCUUCCAUCUGUGCUCUGGGGGCAAGAUGGGAGGUCCACAGAUAAAAUUGCGGGCGGUAUCCCCCA
This is a long non-coding RNA of Homo sapiens (human), 448 nucleotides long. The record is from Ensembl. NCBI's taxonomy places the organism in Eukaryota, Metazoa, Chordata, Mammalia, Primates, Hominidae.